GGGAUCAAGGUGUUAGCGGCAGCAUGACCGGCUCUUAACCGGUUCGGUCGGGGUUCAAGUCCCCGUGAUCCCA
RNAcentral lists this transfer RNA (73 nucleotides) under Planctomycetaceae bacterium. Its description in RNAcentral is "tRNA-Lys". It matches the Rfam family "tRNA". From Rfam's summary of the family: Transfer RNA (tRNA) molecules are approximately 80 nucleotides in length. Lineage: Bacteria; Pseudomonadati; Planctomycetota; Planctomycetia; Planctomycetales; Planctomycetaceae. The record is from RNAcentral.